GGCCUGUGAUCCACAUAAAAUUUGUCCGUACCAUCUGAUUAUAUUUAUGUGAUGUGUUGAAACCUUAGCUUCUGAGGCCU
Molecule: non-coding RNA, 80 nt
Organism: Jatropha curcas
Lineage: Eukaryota; Viridiplantae; Streptophyta; Magnoliopsida; Malpighiales; Euphorbiaceae
Source: Rfam